Molecule: long non-coding RNA, 2120 nt
Organism: Stegostoma tigrinum
Lineage: Eukaryota; Metazoa; Chordata; Chondrichthyes; Orectolobiformes; Stegostomatidae
Exons: 3
Source: RefSeq, a predicted model, not a curated record
GAGGAACACAACAUGCCAGACAGCAUCAGAGGAGCGGGAGAUUACUAGAGGGUUGCAGUGGGAGACAGAUUCACUGAGGACUUUCUGGAGGGAGGAAGACAACUUCUUCAAGUAAUGGAUUUGCUAACUUUCAAACCUGUUCCAGAAUCCAGGAGAAUUUUGCAAAAUUAUUGACAGUGUACUCAAUUCAAGUUGCAGACUGCCUUUAAGCAAUUCAAGUCACUCAUGAUGUUGGUAUCCUGUUGAUGCAUGCAGAGAAUGAACAGCAGGAGAGCAUGGGCUAUAUGCUGCAACCAUGUACAAGAAGAGCAAGGGCUAAAUAAAUCUGCUGCCUGUGAUGCCAUAAAUGUGCACUAUAAACCCAACACUUGUUUUAGGGGUGAGCUAAUUUCUCCCCUCAAAAUGCUGAUUGUUUAAGUAAUUAUUUCAAUUCUAUGCUUAAAUCUAUGGUUAUUUCUAUUAAAAAUUCUUGCUGUCACUUUCAUUCACUGCCAACUACCAUUCUGGUCUAAGUAUGUGGGAAAUGUUGAGAUCGAAUUUGUGAGAUGCAAAUGAACACAUGAACCUUUUUGAAUGCAAAUUGUUUGUCAACUGAACUUUCUUAAAUUGAUUGCAAAUUAGUUUCUUUUGUCAUCUAACAGACCAACAUAACAAUAAAUGACACUUAAGGACAGAUUUUUAAAGAUCUUAGUCAUCUUGAGGGGCCUUUAAAGUUGAUAGUUGAGACCUAGAUACUGACAUUUUGUACAAACUCCCCUUUAUGGUGGCAGGAGAAGGCAUGGGUUGUGAAUCAUAUAGGUAGGAAGUCUGAACUCAGCAAGACCGUUUGACAGUAGGCCUGAAUGCAAAUAAGUCCUACUUUUGCUGAUACGGAGUGUCAACUCAGUGUGGGAAUCAAACAUGUUGAAGCAGAUUUAAAAGUUUGUGAAGGAUGGAAAUGCCUAUUUAAAAGUCAUGAUUUGAUGUUUUCACAAUUCAACAUCUUAUAAACAUAAAGUUACAGUAGUACUUAGAGCUUUUUAAAAAAUAUUCUGCUGGACUGCUUUGAUGUCAGACCACAUAGUUUAGUUUCAAUAAAAUCACAUCAGUUAAAAUAAUUUUAAUAGUAUUCUUUGUUCAUAUUUUCCAAGAGCUGUUAUUGCAGUGGAGAUUGUUAUAAAUUCUUUGCUUAGUUACAAAAAGUCAGAAGCAUGCCAUUUUUCAUGCAGAGGAGCUCAAUUUACAUUUUGACAAUUUAAAGAGGCUGUUAAAGGAUUACAUGUUGCUCUAAAGAUGAGAUUUUAUAAAAUUGUCCUGGUCUUUAAUUUAAGAUAUAGUGAAGGGAGGCCCUUCACUGAGACCUUCUGAAGUCUGCCUGGCAUCAAGUUUGGUUCAUGUGGCUGUUAAAGAUUGAAGGGACGAUCAAGGUGUUUGCUGCAAAGAAGGAAUAAGCUGUUCAUACUUGGAGGCAAUGACAGCGGCAUUGGUAUUUAUUUGUAAUGAUCUGCUGAUUGAUUUCUACAUGCGUAUAACGGCCAUGUGAUUUGCAGUCUCAUGAAAAUGGGCUUCGAAAACAUCCCAGAAACUUCCAGACAAAACUGGUUUCCCUCUUAGAAAGGGAGCAGCUAGAGGCUAAAAUUUUCCAUGGUUCACUGCUCAGGAAUGCAUAUGGAAACUAGCAUUUGGACUGAAAAGAUCAAAUUUAUGAGGACAUAAAUAGGUCAGAAAGAUUCACCUGGCUUGUGCUAGGGAGCAAGUCAUCAGGGAAAUCCCUCAAACUGAAAGGCACUUGUGGGUUUAAAGUUACCAGGCAGAAAAAGGAAAAAAAAAAUGGAAAAAAAACAUUUUAUGGGGUCCAGGAAAACUGAAUAUAAAGGAAAAGCCCUGUUUGGUAGUUUAAAAUAUAAGUUGCCUAUAACAGAAGGGCUUUAGUUUGUUUGUAAAAGUUGUAAAACACUAAAUAUCAUUACAUUAUCCUUUUAGCAGCCAACAGAAAUUUUGAUUUUUAAAAAAAAUUUAAUGAAGUUACCAUGUUUUACAGCUAUUAUAAUUCUGCCAUUGAUCUGGUAACUGAAUAAACUUUGUUUCUGUAACAGAUAUUAUGCUUAAGGAGACUUAACAUGGAUGGGGCCUUUUUGGCU